Molecule: long non-coding RNA, 1156 nt
Organism: Zea mays
Lineage: Eukaryota; Viridiplantae; Streptophyta; Magnoliopsida; Poales; Poaceae
Exons: 2
Source: RefSeq, a predicted model, not a curated record
AUCCCAUCCGCAUCCAGCCAGUCGAAAUCGAGUAUUCUCUCUCCAACAGAGCCUGGUACAUUCAGAUUCCGACUUCCUGGUUCCUGCAGCAGGAUGCGUUCGUGACUCCCUACACCCCAGCGCCGCUUCCGCGUGGGAUGAUCGAGCUCUCAGCGCCGCCACACGCUUCGCGGUCCCCAGCGCCACGUGGGAUGACCAGACGCUCAGCGCCGCCACACGGUCGGGCUCCCCAGCGCCGCGUGGGAGUGGGACGACCGUACGCUCGGCCUGACGCUCGACGCUCCCUGCCAGAUCCGACUUGGCGCUCCUCGUCUCGGGUGACUCGGGUCCGGUGCCGCUCCUCCCUCUCCGCCUGUCUCAACACUCCGCCCGCUCGGCUCCUACUAUCCUUCACUGUCGUGGCACCGCCGUGACUAGUCAGGUAGUCUCAGAUGGAAUUUUCACUGAAGGCAGGGUUUUGAUCCUUGAAUAGUAAGUUUUCAGUUAAUGGGCCAUGUUGAUUUGAUUAUAGCAGACUUUUUUCUGUAUGCGGGGAUAGUAGCCUUGACAGCAUUAAGUGGCAUUAGUGCUACAUUCCUCAGCUUGCCUGCAGGGAUCAGGCAGGGAAAAAUUAUUGGUACUAAGUAUUUAUUUAGAAUUACAAUUCACCUUGGUUUUGUUAUAGAUCAAUAUGAAAGGAUGUUCGAUUUGGGCAUAAGCUAAAAAGAACUUGUGAGAGUAUUUGAUUCUGCAAAGCACUUUCGAACACUAAAAUGAGCUUAAUUCGAAUAUCCCAAUUAAUAAUGAUUUAUCUGUAUAUCCUUUUCAUCUAAUAAUAGCAUUACUUGCAUAUAGAUAACAUCAGGUGUUGUUUUUUGUCACGUGAUGCUUCCCCUUUUCCUUCCAAGAAGAUUUAUGCAUUGUUCGAUGGGCUCCUGAUACUGCCAGGAGUGACCCUUCCACUGCUGCUAACUUCGAGCUUGAUCAAAAGGUCUUUCUACUCAUAUGCAAGGUGUAAGACUAUCGAGUUAUGUGGUAUAUUGGUGUUGAUCAUUCAUGUAAUCACUUUGAGGCUAUGGGUGUUUGCCUUGCUCAUACUUAUUUAAUUUGCUUCCAUCUGUGGUGCCUGAUCUUGACUCCUUUCUUCUCCAUGAGUGAAGCUCGUUUGUUUUCUUUA